UUUUUUUUAAAAAAAAGAAUCUUAGUUCAGCAUACCUUUCUGCAUUAAGUAGAUUUCAUAUAUGUGCAUACUGUAUUGUUUGGUUGUUGCAAAGAUUUCUGUGACUGAGUCAGUGCCAGGCUGCUCACUAAAAAGUACUUUGAGGCAAUAUUGGUCACAAGGUUCGAGAAAAUGCAAAACCUGUCCAGUGUCUUUUUUUAAAUCUACCAACACCAAUAUGUGAAACUUUACAUUUUUGGAUUUUGCCCCACCUUUUUUUGACUGAUGCAAAUCUCAUCCCUUUGUUAGCACUGAAAUUGUUAGGAAUUACUUCAAACUGGAUCUAAAUAGCGUCUGACUUUUUUGAUAGUACUUUGCCCAUUGUGUUCGUUUUGUGUUUUUUCGUGUGUAUAGAUUAUCAGCCUAACAAGCAUAGUUUAGGUUACAAAUCUCUUAACUUUGUUUCUAACAAAAAACAUUUAAUGAUUAAACUCAUGCAGCUAUCUACUCCAUGGUCUCUAGGUACCAAGUGUGACAUUGUUUCAGGGUCAGUAUUGCAGCUUGCAGUUGCAUGCCAUUAGCGGAUGAUCUAAAAUUGUCUUAACACACAAUAAAUGUCUCCAAUUCCUAUACUUGCAAAAUUCUACAUAUUUGAGUGGGUUCCUUUCCUUAUUAUUGAUGUCUCUAAUAUAAAUAUCUUUAAAUGUGUUUAUAAAUAGUAAAGAAAUGACUUGCUUUGUAAGCAAAUAACUGUCCUAGGGCGUUACCAGAAUCCUCCUUUAUUUUCCCUAAUAUGACAAAAAGUAGCAUGGUAACCGGAGAGCAAUGUUCACUUGAAGACUCAGGGAGGUUUACAAUGCAUUUAUCAAUAAAAGAGGUAAUCUGCUUCCGUGUUUGCUAGGAUAACAGAAUAAUAGACAUAGUUUGCUAUGCAAUGCUCCAAUAUUAGCAUAUUACAUAUGUUUGCUUCUUUAACUUGGGUCAUGUGUUCUAAGCUAGGGGGAAAAAAAUACAGACAAGCAUGAAGCGGGGAUUAGGCAUGUAGAUUGUUCUAGGCUUACAUCACAAUCUAUGGACCUAAAAUGAUGGUGCUUAGUGCAAUAACCCACAGCUUAAAAAUAGUUAUUUACAGAGGGGUAAUAAUCAUAACUCACUAGUUUAUCUAUACUAUUGAUUGGUAAAGGAGAAGAUAUGCAUAAAACCACAAUUUCUGCCUGUCUGAUACAAAAUGUGUUUAGCAAGAUUUUGCUGCUGCCGCUUUAAGUGAAGAGCCAUUUUUUGUAAACCAUUUUACUUUAGAGGUGGUUGUACCCAAUUCAGAUGGGCUUCUACAAAACAACCCAUAUUCAUUAGGCUUCUACCAUGGCAUGCACAGAGUAACGCUUAAGGCUUUAUUCACUAAUAGUUGAUUGUAAGCCAAACUGCAAAGCAUAGGCUAAAAUGGAAACGGGUCUCUAACUCCACUACAGUUAAAGCUGGACUGUCAUGCAAUUCUGUCUACAAUUUGGUCAAAAAGAAUGUAACGAUUUUGGAAUCGAAUCGGUUGUUUCCUUUAGUAAGGGCCUCUAUAGUUAUAUGAAUUAUUCUUUUCGGUACAGGGGAUAAGUAUACAGAUUAGUAACAUCACUGCACCCAGUGUAGAGAGCCACCCUGUGGAGUGUAUUGAACUCUGUAUUAAUAACAAAGGGAAGAAAAAGAUCCUCGUUACAGCUACAAAAAGACUAUGAAUACCAAAUUGCAUAGAAGAACAUGACUCUGCUUGUUGACUCUAAUGGGUGCAUUACAGUACGGAUGUGCACUGAGUCCAGUCCUUUAUUCACUUGCAUUGCUACUUAACUCUGCCUGUAUUUCUAAUCAGUCCCUGGUGUAACUUUGCAAAAACAACAAACUGAGAAUUUAAUUUUAUGGACCUUUCCUAAAUGUCAUAACGCCCACAUCAUCCGCUAUGCAGAACAAUGUUGUACAAUGAACUGCAUAAUAAAGCAUGCACUACAAAGAAAACUAACAAAAAAAAUGUCUGUCCUUUCUCCCUUUUUAUAUGUAAUAAAUC
This 2029-nucleotide long non-coding RNA is filed under the name Pelobates cultripes (western spadefoot toad). Lineage: Eukaryota; Metazoa; Chordata; Amphibia; Anura; Pelobatidae. The record is from RNAcentral.